UCUUUUCAUCCUUUGGCUGUGUGGGGAUGAUAUUUUUCCUUUGAUUUUGCUCUAUGUGGAUAUUUUCUCCAUCAUUUAGCUCUGUGUGGAUGGCUUAUGAAUCAUGAUUUAUGUAACACAUUUGGUACAAGGUGGUCACAAUUACUUAUAACUAUUUGAUUUGAAAUCUGAUAGUGUUUGUAUGUCAAAAUUCAAAAAAAAUUCUUUUGACUUUGAGUUUGGUCAAUGAAAUAAGUAAAACCACUUAAUUUACAUCCAAUGGUCAAGAUUAAUUGUGACCACCUUAUACCAAAGAAAAUAGCCUCAUUAAAUACAUUCCUUAUAAAUCUCCUCAAAUUUUCCUUUUCCUUUGAAAGUUACUUUUCAUAACGUCUCAACUUCACUGUUUUCAAGUUGCAGCCAUUUUUGUUUUGUUCUCAUAUUUUCGAGUAGCAUCCGCGACAACAAAAUGGAAGUUUCCAAACACAUGGGUUGUCAAAAGAUCUCUAAAAUACAAGUUAGGCCUACCAUUUUUCAAUAAUUAAUCGAUCUAGAGAAUAAAAAUAGUGCCUAUAUUCCAUGUCAGAUACCAAUUCAAAGAGGAAAAGAAAAGAAAUGUUCAUUUUAUCGUCACACUCCGUAAAUAAGGGUGGCAAUGGGCCUUGUUGGGUCUGGACCCAGACCCCAAAACAAUGAUAUGGGACCUGGAUCCAAAAAUAUAGUGUGGGACCCUGAUCCGACCAAAAAAUUAAAAUAUUUGAGACCCAAAAAAUAUAUUUAACUAUAUUUCAAUAGAUUCCAUAUAUGGGACCCGAAAAGUAUUAUCAAACCCAUAC
Molecule: long non-coding RNA, 815 nt
Filed under: Amborella trichopoda
Lineage: Eukaryota; Viridiplantae; Streptophyta; Magnoliopsida; Amborellales; Amborellaceae
Description: long non-coding RNA (ATRI_LNC004408)
Source: RNAcentral